Oncorhynchus masou masou (cherry salmon) is the source of this 1580-nucleotide long non-coding RNA. RefSeq lists it as uncharacterized. The transcript is spliced from 4 exons. The record is from RefSeq and is a predicted model, not a curated record. NCBI's taxonomy places the organism in Eukaryota, Metazoa, Chordata, Actinopteri, Salmoniformes, Salmonidae.
AUUCAACCCAAAGCUGCUACAAGUGUCUCUUGGGACCUUAGGUUUGAUCAGUUCUUUGUCUUGUCUUACUCUGUCACUCUCCCAGGUCUUGAACCAGAAUGACAGUGGGUGUCUCCAUGCUCCUAUUAUCUGGGACCCUGCUCUGUGGACUACUGUUUCACACAGUGAGUCAGAAUGGAGUCAGGGACAGGAGCAGCACCAGGAGACCCAACUUCAUCAUCGUUCUGGAAGAUGGUAUUGGUUGGGGAGACUUGGGAGCAAACCAGCAGGCGAGUCAGAGAUCAAACCAAACCCUUCAUCUGGACUUGAUGGGAAUGAGGUACAGCGACGCUCCCCAUCCAGCCUGACAGAGCUUGAGAGGUUCUGCAGAGAAGAAUGGGAGAAACUCCCCAAAUACAGGUGUGCCAAGCUUGUAGAGUCAUACCCAAGAAGACUCAGGGCUGUAAUCGCUGCCAAAUGUGCUUCAACAAAGUACUGAGUAAAAGAUUGAUGAGGGGAGCCUCUGGACCUUAGGAGGCUAACGCAGCGAUACAACUCCCAUGCACUCAGUAUUAUACACACAGACAGGGGUCUGGAUAUCUUCCCCACCCUCCUCUCCCUGGGUGGAGUGAAUCCCCAUCAGACAGAAGCUAUGACGGUAUCGAUGCCACCGAUGACCUUCUACAUGGCAAAGAAACAGGACAUGUGGUACGACCCACUAAGGAGUGAUCAGAGCUAGUCAUAACAGGACAUGAUGUACGACCCACUAAGGAGAGAUCAGAGCUAGUCAUAGAAGCACAUGAGGUACGACCCACUAAGGAGUGAUCAGAGCUAGUCCUAACAGGACAUGAGGUACGACCCACUAAGGAUCUCUUUGUUACUUGGGAUCUAGAACAAGCAUCUCUGUUUUGUCCGAGUUUAAAAGUAGAACAUUUGCAGCCAUCCACUUCCUUAUGGGGGCGGCAGGGUAGCCUAGUGGUUAGAGCAUUGGACUAGUAACCGGAAGGUUGCCAGUUCAAACCCCUGAGCUGACAUGGUACAAAUCUGUUGUUCUGCCCCUGAACAGGCAGUUAACCCACUGUUCCUAGGCCAUCAUUGAAAAUAAGAAUUUGUUCUUAAAUGACUUGCUUAGUUAUAUAAAGGUCAAAUAUGUCUGAAACACAGGCUUCUAGCGUGGGCAAUAUUGGGGCUUCAACAUGUUUCAUCGAAAUGUACAGCUGUGUGUCAUCUGCAUAGCAGUGAAAGUUAACAUUAUGUUUCCGAAUGACAUCACCAAGAGGUCAAAUAUAUAGUGAAAACAAUAUUCACAAUAUUAUUCCCAAUAUUAACAGUGUUUUCCUGUACAGACUUCUUGUACAGUGAUACCACUGAGGCUUCUGGGUUGCACUGGGUUGAGUAUACUCCUCUCUUGUGGGGAGUAUAUGACAACGCAAUAAGUAGGAUGAAAUUGCCAAUACACACUGACCUAAGACAAGUGUUGUUUGUCCCACAAAUAGCUGGGUUUAAUUUAAUUAGACAAAGAGCAUUCUUCCAAGGUUAACUUCACUUUAACCUGAGACAUUUCAAUGAAAUGAAACACAGGAGACUUGUUUGAUUCACAU